GUGGGGAAUUUUGGACAAUGGGCGCAAGCCUGAUCCAGCAAUGCCGCGUGCAGGAAGAAGGCCUUCGGGUUGUAAACUGCUUUUGUACGGAACGAAACGGUCCUGGUUAAUACCUGGGGCUAAUGACGGUACCGUAAGAAUAAGCACCGGCUAACUACGUGCCAGCAGCCGCGGUAAUACGUAGGGUGCGAGCGUUAAUCGGAAUUACUGGGCGUAAAGCGUGCGCAGGCGGUGUAAGACAGGCGUGAAAUCCCCGGGCUCAACCUGGGAAUUGCGCUUGGGACUGCAGUGCUGGAGUACGGCAGAGGGGGAUGGAAUUCCGCGUGUAGCAGUGAAAUGCGUAGAUAUGCGGAGGAACACCGAUGGCGAAGGCAGUCCCCUGGGCCUGUACUGACGCUCAUGCACGAAAGCGUGGGGAGCAAACAGGAUUAGAUACCCCAGUAGUCC
Molecule: ribosomal RNA, 447 nt
Filed under: uncultured bacterium
Lineage: Bacteria
Description: partial 16S ribosomal RNA
Rfam family: Bacterial small subunit ribosomal RNA
Source: RNAcentral